RNAcentral lists this ribosomal RNA (440 nucleotides) under uncultured bacterium. RNAcentral's name for it is "partial 16S ribosomal RNA". It matches the Rfam family "Bacterial small subunit ribosomal RNA", at positions 338 to 795 of the family's 1533-position model. The record is from RNAcentral.
CCUACGGGGCGCAGCAGUGGGGGAUAUUGCACAAUGGGGGAAACCCUGAUGCAGCGACGCCGCGUGUGGGAAGACGGUCCUCUGGAUUGUAAACCACUGUCCCCAGGGACGAAGAUGACGGUACCUGGGGAGGAAGCUCCGGCUAACUACGUGCCAGCAGCCGCGGUAAUACGUAGGGAGCGAGCGUUGUCCGGAAUUACUGGGUGUAAGGGGAGCGUAGGCGGGACUGCAAGUUGGGUGUCAAAUCUACCGGCUCAACCGGUAGCCGCACUCAAAACUGCAGUUCUUGAGUGAAGUAGAGGCAGGCGGAAUUCCUAGUGUAGCGGUGAAAUGCGUAGAUAUUAGGAGGAACACCAGUGGCGAAGGCGGCCUGCUGGGCUUUUACUGACGCUGAGGCUCGAAAGUGUGGGGAGCAAACAGGAUUAGAUACCCGUGUAGUC